CUACGUGCCAGCAGCCGCGGUAAUACGUAGGUCCCGAGCGUUGUCCGGAUUUAUUGGGCGUAAAGCGAGCGCAGGCGGUUAGAUAAGUCUGAAGUUAAAGGCUGUGGCUUAACCAUAGUACGCUUUGGAAACUGUUUAACUUGAGUGCAAGAGGGGAGAGUGGAAUUCCAUGUGUAGCGGUGAAAUGCGUAGAUAUAUGGAGGAACACCGGUGGCGAAAGCGGCUCUCUGGCUUGUAACUGACGCUGAGGCUCGAAAGCGUGGGGAGCAAACAGGAUUAGAUACCCUGGUAGUCCACGCCGUAAACGAUG
This 310-nucleotide ribosomal RNA is filed under the name uncultured bacterium. RNAcentral's name for it is "bacterial SSU rRNA". It matches the Rfam family "Bacterial small subunit ribosomal RNA", at positions 501 to 811 of the family's 1533-position model. The record is from RNAcentral.